UACGAAGGGGGCUAGCGUUGUUCGGAAUCACUGGGCGUAAAGCGCACGUAGGCGGAUUGUCAAGUCGGGGGUGAAAUCCUGAGGCUCAACCUCAGAACUGCCUCCGAUACUGGCAAUCUCGAGUUCGGAAGAGGUUGGUGGAACAGCUAGUGUAGAGGUGAAAUUCGUAGAUAUUAGCUAGAACACCAGUGGCGAAGGCGGCCAACUGGUCCGACACUGACGCUGAGGUGCGAAAGCGUGGGGAGCAAACAGG
RNAcentral lists this ribosomal RNA (253 nucleotides) under uncultured bacterium. RNAcentral describes it as "partial 16S ribosomal RNA". It matches the Rfam family "Bacterial small subunit ribosomal RNA", at positions 524 to 776 of the family's 1533-position model. The record is from RNAcentral.